GAUGAACGCUGGCGGCGUGCCUAAUACAUGCAAGUCGAGCGGACAGACGAGGCGCUUGCUCCUCUGACGUGAGCGGCGGACGGGAGAGUAACGCGUGGAAAACCUACCUAUAAGACUGAUAUAACUACGGGAAACCGGCGCUAAUACCGUAUAAUAUCUUGAAGCGCAGGGGUGGAUGGUAAAAGUCGGCUGUGCUGGAACGAAUCGCUGCAUACGCGCCGCAUUGGCUAGUUGGUAAGGUCACGGCUUACCAAGGCAACGAUGCGUAGCCGAACUGAGGGGGUGAUCGGCCACACUGGAGCUGAGACACCGUCCUGACUCCUACGGGAGGCAGCAGUCGGGAAUCUGCCGCAAUGGGCGAAAGCUUGACGGAGUAACGCGGCGUGAGUGAUGAAGGUCCUCGGUGCGUAAAACUCGGUUAUUAGUGAAGAACAAAUGUGUAAGUAACUAUGCACGGCUUGACGGUACCUAGUCAGAAAGCAACGGCUAACUACGUG
This 497-nucleotide ribosomal RNA is filed under the name uncultured bacterium. RNAcentral's name for it is "partial 16S ribosomal RNA". It matches the Rfam family "Bacterial small subunit ribosomal RNA", at positions 28 to 507 of the family's 1533-position model. The record is from RNAcentral.